GGAAGUUUGGGUGAGUGGUUGAAACCAGCAGUUUGCUAAACUGCCGUACGUGUUUAACGUACCGGGGGUUCGAAUCCCCCAGCUUCCG
RNAcentral lists this transfer RNA (88 nucleotides) under Prevotella sp. CAG:487. It matches the Rfam family "tRNA". From Rfam's summary of the family: Transfer RNA (tRNA) molecules are approximately 80 nucleotides in length. The record is from Rfam by way of RNAcentral. Lineage: Bacteria; Pseudomonadati; Bacteroidota; Bacteroidia; Bacteroidales; Prevotellaceae.